UACGUAGGGUGCAAGCGUUAAUCGGAAUUACUGGGCGUAAAGCGUGCGCAGGCGGUUUUGUAAGUUUGUCGUGAAAUCCCCGGGCUCAACCUGGGAAUGGCGAUGAAGACUGCAAGGCUAGAGUUUGGCAGAGGGGGGUAGAAUUCCACGUGUAGCAGUGAAAUGCGUAGAUAUGUGGAGGAACACCGAUGGCGAAGGCAGCCCCCUGGGUCAAGAUUGACGCUCAUGCACGAAAGCGUGGGGAGCAAACAGG
RNAcentral lists this ribosomal RNA (253 nucleotides) under uncultured bacterium. Its description in RNAcentral is "partial 16S ribosomal RNA". It matches the Rfam family "Bacterial small subunit ribosomal RNA", at positions 524 to 776 of the family's 1533-position model. The record is from RNAcentral.